CAGGUAGCAUAAUCAUUAGUCUUUUAAUUGAAGGCUGGAAUGAAUGGUUGGAUGAGGUAAAAGCUGUCUCUCUNGAAAGUNNUUAUAAUUUCACUUAACAGUUAAAAGGCUGUUAUUAUUUUAUAGGACGAGAAGACCCUAUAGAUCUUUAUAAUAUUCUUGACANGGGUUUAGUCGAGGUUUUCCUGUAAAGAUUUUUUAUUUUGUUGGGGUGACAGGGAAAUAAAUUAACUUUCCUAAAUAUUNACACUAAUUAGUGUUUUAANNGGAUCCAUUAAUAGUGAUUAAAAGAAUAAGUUACCUUAGGGAUAACAGCAUAAUCUUCUUUGAGAGUUCAAAUCGACAAGAAGGGUUGUGACCUCGAUGUUGGACUAAGAA
RNAcentral lists this ribosomal RNA (378 nucleotides) under Askola sp. Ep5510a. RNAcentral's name for it is "partial 16S ribosomal RNA". It matches the Rfam family "Bacterial large subunit ribosomal RNA", at positions 1953 to 2543 of the family's 2925-position model. Lineage: Eukaryota; Metazoa; Arthropoda; Insecta; Ephemeroptera; Leptophlebiidae. The record is from RNAcentral.